AACGCUGGCGGCGUGCCUAAUACAUGCAAGUUGUAACGCACAAAGACACCAGAGCUUGCUCUACCGUUUUUGUUGAGUAGCGAACGGGUGAGUAACGCGUGGGUAACCUGCCUUAUAGCGGGGGAUAACUAUUGGAAACGAUAGCUAAUACCGCAUAACAAUAGAGAUUGCAUAAUCUUUAUUUGAAAGUGCCAACUGGUACACUAUGAGAUGGACCCGCGUUGUAUUAGCUAGUUGGUAGUGUAAUGGACUACCAAGGCGAUGAUACAUAGCCGACCUGAGAGGGUGAUCGGCCACAUUGGGACUGAGACACGGCCCAAACUCCUACGGGAGGCAGCAGUAGGGAAUCUUCGGCAAUGGACGAAAGUCUGACCGAGCAACGCCGCGUGAGUGAAGAAGGUUUUCGGAUCGUAAAACUCUGUUGUUAGAGAAGAAUGUUGAUUAGAGUGGAAAAUUAAUCAAGUGACGGUAUCUAACCAGAAAGGGACGGCUAACUACGUG
This 501-nucleotide ribosomal RNA is filed under the name uncultured bacterium. Its description in RNAcentral is "bacterial SSU rRNA". It matches the Rfam family "Bacterial small subunit ribosomal RNA", at positions 32 to 507 of the family's 1533-position model. The record is from RNAcentral.